UUAAGCGACUAAGCGUACACGGUGGAUGCCCUGGCAGUCAGAGGCGAUGAAGGACGUGCUAAUCUGCGAUAAGCGCCGGUAAGGUGAUAUGAACCGUUAUAACCGGCGAUUUCCGAAUGGGGAAACCCAGUGUGACUCGUCACACUAUCAUUAACUGAAUCCAUAGGUUAAUGAGGCGAACCGGGGGAACUGAAACAUCUAAGUACCCCGAGGAAAAGAAAUCAACCGAGAUUCCCCCAGUAGCGGCGAGCGAACGGGGAGGAGCCCAGAGCCUGAAUCAGCAUGUGUGUUAGUGGAAGCGUCUGGAAAGGCGCGCGAUACAGGGUGACAGCCCCGUACACAAAAGCGCAUGUGCUGUGAGCUCGAUGAGUAGGGCGGGACACGUGGUAUCCUGUCUGAAUAUGGGGGGACCAUCCUCCAAGGCUAAAUACUCCUGACUGACCGAUAGUGAACCAGUACCGUGAGGGAAAGGCGAAAAGAACCCCGGCGAGGGGAGUGAAAAAGAACCUGAAACCGUGUACGUACAAGCAGUGGGAGCACCCUUUGGGGUGUGACUGCGUACCUUUUGUAUAAUGGGUCAGCGACUUAUAUUCUGUAGCAAGGUUAACCGUAUAGGGGAGCCGUAGGGAAACCGAGUCUUAACCGGGCGUUAAGUUGCAGGGUAUAGACCCGAAACCCGGUGAUCUAGCCAUGGGCAGGUUGAAGGUUGGGUAACACUAACUGGAGGACCGAACCGACUAAUGUUGAAAAAUUAGCGGAUGACCUGUGGCUGGGGGUGAAAGGCCAAUCAAACCGGGAGAUAGCUGGUUCUCCCCGAAAGCUAUUUAGGUAGCGCCUCGUGAAUUCAUCUCCGGGGGUAGAGCACUGUUUCGGCUAGGGGGCCAUCCCGGCUUACCAACCCGAUGCAAACUGCGAAUACCGGAGAAUGUUAUCACGGGAGACACACGGCGGGUGCUAACGUCCGUCGUGAAGAGGGAAACAACCCAGACCGCCAGCUAAGGUCCCAAAGUCAUGGUUAAGUGGGAAACGAUGUGGGAAGGCCCAGACAGCCAGGAUGUUGGCUUAGAAGCAGCCAUCAUUUAAAGAAAGCGUAAUAGCUCACUGGUCGAGUCGGCCUGCGCGGAAGAUGUAACGGGGCUAAACCAUGCACCGAAGCUGCGGCAGCGACGCUUAUGCGUUGUUGGGUAGGGGAGCGUUCUGUAAGCCUGUGAAGGUGGCCUGUGAGGGUUGCUGGAGGUAUCAGAAGUGCGAAUGCUGACAUAAGUAACGAUAAAGCGGGUGAAAAGCCCGCUCGCCGGAAGACCAAGGGUUCCUGUCCAACGUUAAUCGGGGCAGGGUGAGUCGACCCCUAAGGCGAGGCCGAAAGGCGUAGUCGAUGGGAAACGGGUUAAUAUUCCCGUACUUGGUGUUACUGCGAAGGGGGGACGGAGAAGGCUAUGUUGGCCGGGCGACGGUUGUCCCGGUUUAAGCGUGUAGGUGUGUGUUCCAGGUAAAUCCGGUUCACUUUAACACUGAGGCGUGAUGACGAGGCACUACGGUGCUGAAGCAACAAAUGCCCUGCUUCCAGGAAAAGCCUCUAAGCAUCAGGUAACAUCAAAUCGUACCCCAAACCGACACAGGUGGUCAGGUAGAGAAUACCAAGGCGCUUGAGAGAACUCGGGUGAAGGAACUAGGCAAAAUGGUGCCGUAACUUCGGGAGAAGGCACGCUGACACGUAGGUGAAGUGAUUUACUCACGGAGCUGAAGUCAGUCGAAGAUACCAGCUGGCUGCAACUGUUUAUUAAAAACACAGCACUGUGCAAACACGAAAGUGGACGUAUACGGUGUGACGCCUGCCCGGUGCCGGAAGGUUAAUUGAUGGGGUCAGCGCAAGCGAAGCUCCUGAUCGAAGCCCCGGUAAACGGCGGCCGUAACUAUAACGGUCCUAAGGUAGCGAAAUUCCUUGUCGGGUAAGUUCCGACCUGCACGAAUGGCGUAAUGAUGGCCAGGCUGUCUCCACCCGAGACUCAGUGAAAUUGAACUCGCUGUGAAGAUGCAGUGUACCCGCGGCAAGACGGAAAGACCCCGUGAACCUUUACUAUAGCUUGACACUGAACAUUGAGCCUUGAUGUGUAGGAUAGGUGGGAGGCUUUGAAGCGUGGACGCCAGUCUGCGUGGAGCCAACCUUGAAAUACCACCCUUUAAUGUUUGAUGUUCUAACGUGGACCCGUGAUCCGGGUUGCGGACAGUGUCUGGUGGGUAGUUUGACUGGGGCGGUCUCCUCCUAAAGAGUAACGGAGGAGCACGAAGGUUGGCUAAUCCUGGUCGGACAUCAGGAGGUUAGUGCAAUGGCAUAAGCCAGCUUGACUGCGAGCGUGACGGCGCGAGCAGGUGCGAAAGCAGGUCAUAGUGAUCCGGUGGUUCUGAAUGGAAGGGCCAUCGCUCAACGGAUAAAAGGUACUCCGGGGAUAACAGGCUGAUACCGCCCAAGAGUUCAUAUCGACGGCGGUGUUUGGCACCUCGAUGUCGGCUCAUCACAUCCUGGGGCUGAAGUAGGUCCCAAGGGUAUGGCUGUUCGCCAUUUAAAGUGGUACGCGAGCUGGGUUUAGAACGUCGUGAGACAGUUCGGUCCCUAUCUGCCGUGGGCGCUGGAGAACUGAGGGGGGCUGCUCCUAGUACGAGAGGACCGGAGUGGACGCAUCACUGGUGUUCGGGUUGUCAUGCCAAUGGCACUGCCCGGUAGCUAAAUGCGGAAGAGAUAAGUGCUGAAAGCAUCUAAGCACGAAACUUGCCCCGAGAUGAGUUCUCCCUGAGACUUAAAGUCUCCUGAAGGAACGUUGAAGACGACGACGUUGAUAGGCCGGGUGUGUAAGCGCAGCGAUGCGUUGAGCUAACCGGUACUAAUGAACCGUGAGGCUUAACCUU
RNAcentral lists this ribosomal RNA (2904 nucleotides) under Salmonella enterica subsp. enterica serovar Heidelberg. Its description in RNAcentral is "bacterial LSU rRNA". It matches the Rfam family "Bacterial large subunit ribosomal RNA". Lineage: Bacteria; Pseudomonadati; Pseudomonadota; Gammaproteobacteria; Enterobacterales; Enterobacteriaceae. The record is from RNAcentral.